Molecule: regulatory RNA element, 96 nt
Organism: Firmicutes bacterium CAG:114
Lineage: Bacteria; Bacillati; Bacillota
Rfam family: Glycine riboswitch aptamer
About the family: This family represents the bacterial glycine riboswitch. Glycine riboswitches usually consist of two metabolite-binding aptamers domains with similar structures in tandem.
Source: Rfam
GGAGGGAUCUCUGGAGAAUCUCAAUAUUUUGAGUACCGAAGGUGCAAGGCUUCCCAGGAAGCCGAAUCUCUCAGGUAAAAGGACAGAGCCGAGCAU